RNAcentral lists this ribosomal RNA (460 nucleotides) under uncultured bacterium. RNAcentral describes it as "partial 16S ribosomal RNA". It matches the Rfam family "Bacterial small subunit ribosomal RNA", at positions 338 to 795 of the family's 1533-position model. The record is from RNAcentral.
CCUACGGGAGGCAGCAGUGAGGAAUAUUGGUCAAUGGGCUUACGCCUGAACCAGCCAAGUCGCGUGAGGGAAGACUGCCCUAUGGGUUGUAAACCUCUUUUGUCAGGGAGCAACGCCGGCUACGUGUCGCCGGACUGAGAGUACCUGCAGAAAAAGCAUCGGCUAACUCCGGGCCAGCAGCCGCGGUAAUACGAAGGAUGCGAGCGUUAUCCGGAUUUUUUGGGGUAAAAGGGUGCGUAGGCGGAAUGCCAAGUCAGCGGUAAAAUCGCGGGGCUCAACCUCGCUCCGCCGUUGAAACUGGCGUUCUUGAGUGGGCGAGAAGUAUGCGGAAGGCGUGGUGUAGCGGUGAAAUGCAUAGAUAUCACGCAGAACUCCGAUUGCGAAGGCAGCAUACCGGCGCCCAACUGACGCUGAAGCACGAAAGCGUGGGUAUCGAACAGGAUUAGAUACCCUUGUAGUC